Molecule: long non-coding RNA, 816 nt
Organism: Drosophila obscura
Lineage: Eukaryota; Metazoa; Arthropoda; Insecta; Diptera; Drosophilidae
Exons: 2
Source: RefSeq, a predicted model, not a curated record
ACACUAUACAGAGACAGACAAUAGAGGGCGUCUCUGUGUGUGUUUGUGUGUUUGUUUGAGAGUUUAAAAAUAAAUCUGGCACUUGUGGUGCACGAAAUUAGCAGGAGCUCCACACUUUAUGGCCAUAUUAAUGAAAUGAAUUAAUUUAUUCACUUGUUUACUCCCCCGUGUGCACCGACAGAACAAACAGACGAUACCGAUGUAGCUUAAGAUAUCGAUUGAUCGAACGGUAUUUUUGGCACACGCAAAAGCCCUACGUAUAGGUAACGGCACAUCAUAAACAAAACAAAAACCAAAAUAAAAUUGUCAGCGGGGUGGGAUGUACAUAUUUACAAGCUAACCGAAUUUCAGACGGAGAGGGAGCAUCUCCGCCCGGAGUCUGUGCGUGUGUCAAUCAACUCUUUCGUCAGCCAGAACGAGAUCAAAUAAUUGAAGCCCUCGCGCCCUCUCGUGACGUCAAUGGAGAGCGUCAUCGAAAGCUUACAGCAAGGCAAACAUCGGCUUGGAAGGACUCCCACCCUUCCCCUCCGUCUCUGUGGACUGGGCGGCGCGUGCAAGGCAUUUCCAAUUGGAAUUAGUUCUUAUCAAAUUAAUUAGACAACGGAAAGGGGGAUUUGUUGGGGGGAUUUUCAGCUGCAGACAGCGACAGGUGAAAGCGCCAGUCCACCGUCUAAUGACACCGCAAUGGAUAAUGAAUGGGAAUUCAGUCGAUUUCUGUAGACUUAACGGUAACAAAUUCCAGUGUGAUAGCUGUAAGAAUGACUAUAACAAUUUGUUCUUCUUUAAUUUAUAAAAAUAUAUGGACUUAAACAUGUU